UAGCUCACUGGUCGAGUCGGCCUGCGCGGAAGAUGUAACGGGGCUAAACCAUGCACCGAAGCUGCGGCAGCGACGCUGAUGCGUUGUUGGGUAGGGGAGCGUUCUGUAAGCCUGUGAAGGUGUGCUGUGAGGUAUGCUGGAGGUAUCAGAAGUGCGAAUGCUGACAUAAGUAACGAUAAAGCGGGUGAAAAGCCCGCUCGCCGGAAGACC
RNAcentral lists this ribosomal RNA (210 nucleotides) under Escherichia coli. RNAcentral's name for it is "partial 23S ribosomal RNA". It matches the Rfam family "Bacterial large subunit ribosomal RNA", at positions 1138 to 1346 of the family's 2925-position model. Lineage: Bacteria; Pseudomonadati; Pseudomonadota; Gammaproteobacteria; Enterobacterales; Enterobacteriaceae. The record is from RNAcentral.